GAUGAACGCUGACGGAAUGCUUAACACAUCAAGUAUACUUAAUUUUGAGUUUUUAACUAAGAUUUGGGUGGCGGACGGGGUGAGUAAAGCGUAAAGAACUUGCCUCACAGCUAGGGACAACAUUUAGAAAAGAAUGCUAAUACCUAAAUAUUAUGAUAAUAGGGCAUCCUAUAAUUAUGAAAGCUAUAUGCGCUGUGAGAGAGCUUUGCGUCCCCAUUAGCUAGUUGGAGAGGUAACGGCUCACCAAGGCGAUGAUGGGUAGCCGGCCUGAGAGGGUGAUCGGCCACAAGGGGACUGAGACACGGCCCUUACUCCUACGGGAGGCAGCAGUGGGGAAUAUUGGACAAUGGACCGAGAGUCUGAUCCAGCAAUUCUGUGUGCACGAUGAAGUUUUUCGGAAUGUAAAGUGCUUUCAGUUGGGAAGAAAGAAAUGACGGUACCAACAGAAGAAGUGACGGCUAAAUACGUGCCAGCAGCCGCGGUAAUACGUAUGUCACGAGCGUUAUCUGGAUUUAUUGGGCGUAAAGCGCGUCUAGGUGGUUAUAUAAGUCUGAUGUGAAAAUGCAGGGCUCAACUCUGUAUUGCGUUGGAAACUGUAUAACUAGAGUACUGGAGAGGUAAGCGGAACUACAAGUGUAGAGGUGAAAUUCGUAGAUAUUUGUAGGAAUGCCGAUGGGGAAGCCAGCUUACUGGGCAGAUACUGACGCUGAAGCGCGAAAGCGUGGGUAGCAAACAGG
This 737-nucleotide ribosomal RNA is filed under the name uncultured Fusobacterium sp. Its description in RNAcentral is "bacterial SSU rRNA". It matches the Rfam family "Bacterial small subunit ribosomal RNA", at positions 28 to 776 of the family's 1533-position model. Lineage: Bacteria; Fusobacteriati; Fusobacteriota; Fusobacteriia; Fusobacteriales; Fusobacteriaceae. The record is from RNAcentral.